AGAGGUAGAAAAUGGAGAUAUAGGGGCACAUGAGUGAGCUUAUUGCACACUGCAGACCAGUGCACUGGUUCCCAACCUUCUCCAUCCAGAGUCCACUUUAUGUGAUUUCAUGCCCCAGGCCUGCCAACAAGGGCCUGAUGGAGACCAUGGCAGAAGAGCCUGUUCUGUUUGGGCUGGCGACUUGACGGGUGUCUUAUGAUCUCAAACGAGAUUGGAAACUGGUCUGGAAUGACAGGAAUACACACUGCUAGGCAGCUACUCAGGACCUGGCUGCUGAAUGCCCUCACCGUGGUGCAUCAGACCCCACUGCUCAUGCCUGUAAGGAGGGCUCCAACCCUUUGGGGCGCCUCUCACCUCCGGUCCCAUGAUCUGUCCUCAGCCACCCUUCAGGAACUCCCUGUUCUUGAAUGUGUGCCAGCUGCUCCCAGAGAGUCUGAGAACCACACUAGACCUGCACUGCCUCGGCCAUGGCUUUCUUUCCACUGAAAAGAGGAUGGAAUCUUGUGAGAGCUUAGCACAGGAAGCAGGAUGCGAGCAAGGCCGGAACCUCCCCUGGGAUUUCUGCUGAGACCGGGCUGAGCCACAGGUCAGAGGCGGGAAGUGCACCUCCACUGCCUGGAGAGGGGAGAACAGACCCCUCUGUCAGUUCCUGCUGAUAAUAAUGCAGCCUGCGUGGGCAGACGUUGCGCAUCCCCUGGCUGGAUAGAACACGUGUCUCAAUGCCUUGCUUGUUCUUCACUUUUGUGUAGCAUGUGGCUUGGCAGGCGAGAGGGGAUUAGGAGGCCUGUUGACAGAAAUCCUGGUAGAAUUCCAUGUUUGAGAAACCCAUCCAAAGGUGAUAGCUUUGGGGCUUCAUUAGGGUGGUUAUCAGAUCCAGAAAUGUUUUCCAGAGUGUGGACCCCUCCCUCCACGUACCUGUUCCUAUCUCUCUAAUCUCAUGAAAGUGGGGGAAGGGCUAGAAACUCUUUCUCAAAAGAGACUUCCGAGAAAUAGCUCCCAGACUAAACACUUUGCUCUGUGUUCACUUAUGUACUUGUUUUCCAAAAUCUGCCAAUUAAAAGAAAGAAAAUUGUAUGUGUUCAGACAAGUAGGGACACACAGGCUGAUGGGGUCAGAGGGCCACUGAUGCUGAGGUUGCUUAGAGACUGGGAAGGUGGCUUAGGAUGGGGUGAGCCCCUGCUUCUCAGGGGUGCUGGCCUGGCCUAUUUACUCCAGAACACUUAGGCCCAUAGAGGCCAGGAUUUUGGGGCCGCUGUGACAAAUAGCCUUGGGAAGGUCAUGCAGAUGCAUCAGUGGCAUGCAAAACCUGCCGUGAGUCUUGGAUAUAGUUGGUCUUCAAAAUAUGAUUCCUGAACAUAUACCAUUGCCUUUUAGUGGGCUUUUUGUUUUUUUUAACCAAUGCAGAACUAUGCCUUUGUUUCAUUCAUUCAUACAUAUGGCAUACAUGAAAGAAUAGGUGUCUUACUCUAUCUUGCUCCUAAUAUUGAGUCAGAGGAACUCCGAGGACAAGGUCUCUCAAAAGAGUGGUUCCCCCAGGUUCAUGGACAUAUUAUUUCUGUGCACAAAAUGAAUUAAUGAAUGUGCCUAAGACAAGGCCAGCCAUCUAGAGAGUAUUACCUUGUUCCUCAUAAGCUUCCUUUUGACUUUUGAAAAACAUGCUGCUUGUCUAGUAAGCAGUAAGUACUCACUCUCCUCUACAAAGGAAGCUAUAAAAACUGACUAGCCUCAAGGUGAUUUUUCCCUCUCUUGCCCUGGGAAUACAAGCUCCUUUAUCUCAAACAUCUCUGGUCAGUUGAGGCUCACUUGAUGUGCUGUAGCAGGGAGAGGUCAGGGCUGGAGAUGUAAUGUUGGAAAUCAUUAGUGGUUUUAAAGCCAUGAGAUGGGUGAGAUCACCAGGGGGAGUAGAUACAGAGAGAAAAGAGAAGAGGUCUAAAGUCCAGGGGCACUGUAACACUAAGUAUUUGGGGAGGUGGGAAGAAACAAACAAAGGAGACCAGGAAGGAGUGGUCAGAGAAGUAGGUGCAAAAUGAGGCACGUGGGGUGUCAUGGAAGCCAGAGGAAGAUAAUAUUUCAAGGACGCUGGAGGGGUCAACAGUGAGGAAUGUUGCUGAGAGAUGUAGUCAGCUAAGGGUAAGCUCUGCCACUUUUUUAACAAUGUGAAGUUGUUGGUGACCUUGGAAAGGGCAUAUUUUGGUGGAGAGGUGGUGGUGAAAGCUUGAUUGGCCUGGGCUCUAAAGAUUCAUUCAUCUCUGUUGCUCCAUGAAGUGAAACAAAACAAGAGCAUCAGCAACCUCCAGUCAGGGCUGAUGAUACCCCGUCCUGCCUGUAUUAUCUCCCCUAACAUCCUCUCGGGAAUUUUCUACACAUGCCUUAGUUGAUGGACAUACGGACCAAGUUCCAACUAUGUCACCAAAUUUUGGGAUUGUAGCGGUUAUUGCAAGUGUUUAAAAUUAAAGCCUCAGCCUUUAGGUAGGACCAUACACGGUUUAAAUAGGAAGGUGCCCCUUACAGAUAAUUGCAACUGAGUCUCCCUAUUUUACAUAUUGGGAAGCUGAGGCUCAGAUCUGGGAGAUGACUCAUUGAAGGUCAUACAACCGCUCUGAGGCAUUGCCCCCUUUCUUCCUCCCAAAUGUACCUGGUGGAUGAGAACCUGUACUUUUAAAAAAGAUUACUGGGGGACAGAUCUCCUAUUUCUUUCAUUUCCUUCAG
Macaca mulatta (Rhesus monkey) is the source of this 2709-nucleotide long non-coding RNA. The record is from Ensembl. Lineage: Eukaryota; Metazoa; Chordata; Mammalia; Primates; Cercopithecidae.